Long non-coding RNA from Gossypium raimondii (Peruvian cotton), 890 nucleotides. RefSeq lists it as uncharacterized. The transcript has 3 exons. NCBI's taxonomy places the organism in Eukaryota, Viridiplantae, Streptophyta, Magnoliopsida, Malvales, Malvaceae. The record is from RefSeq and is a predicted model, not a curated record.
UGAUCCCAACCCGACACAAUCAAUCCAUCAAAGAAAAAGAAAAAAAAAGCCAAGGAUUCUCCCCAGUCACAGCGCAAAAAAAAAAGAUCACAUAGCAAGGAUGAUUCAUGUGUCGGAUUCAUACCGCGUGUUGAGGCCGCAUGGCCAUGGUCCGAGCUACCGGCAGGACAAAUGGAUUAUGCCUUACCUAGAUGCCACCGUAUUUGGAUCAGCGACGUUAAUUUGUGUGUUUGAGUUAAGGGCCGACUUAAUAUUAACAUUGGUUGAGCCGUGGCGCCCAGAGACGCACACAUUUCAUUUUCCAUGUGGGAAAUGAAUCAUCACAAUGAAGGGUGACGCAUUGCAAUUAAAGCUCCCCAUGGAUGCAGUAACCAGUUCAAGAAAAGUAGAAGAACCUGCGGCGCUCUACUAUGACUUGCUUAGACACUCUCCCUGUGAUGCUGGAGCUAAAUUUACAGAUUUAAAAUUUUUGUGGUUGAAGGUAAAUUUCAAAACAUUGUUGAGUAAUGCGGCUGAGAGGUAGAAGAUGUGCGUUGCACGAGCAUAUAUACUGCAGCUUAUAGGGGGUACUUAUCCCAGACGCUAAUAAUAAAAAAUUCCACUUGAUGUACCUACCACUACUACCUAAUUUGCAAGUUGUCUAUUCCUACAGUUGGGGAUUAGCAGUACUAGCUACGUUGUAUCAUGAGUUUUUUUAAGCAACAAAGCACAAAACACGAUAUAUAAGCAGGUGCCUGGUACUGCUACAAUCUUGUGCGCUAUACAAGAUGUCAUUUCUGUCAUCAGUAGGCCACCAAGCACAUGUGUUCCCACUUCUGAAUAGGUAAAACAAAAUUGAAACUUGGAUCAAGAUUUUUUUUAUGAAAGUAUGUUCUGAGGAGUUUGCUUUA